AUCCCUACUGUAGCGCAAUGGAUAGCGCGAUGGACUUCCAAUCCAAAGGUCGUGGGUUCGAAUCCCACCUGGGAUG
This 76-nucleotide transfer RNA is filed under the name Trichonephila inaurata madagascariensis. RNAcentral's name for it is "tRNA-Gly". It matches the Rfam family "tRNA". Rfam says of the family: Transfer RNA (tRNA) molecules are approximately 80 nucleotides in length. The record is from RNAcentral. Lineage: Eukaryota; Metazoa; Arthropoda; Arachnida; Araneae; Nephilidae.